UACGUAGGGUGCGAGCGUUAAUCGGAAUUACUGGGCGUAAAGCGUGCGCAGGCGGCGCGUUAAGACAGGUGUGAAAGCCCCGAGCUUAACUUGGGAAUUGCGCUUGUGACUGGCGUGCUGGAGUGUGGCAGAGGGAGGUGGAAUUCCCGGUGUAGCAGUGAAAUGCGUAGAGAUCGGGAGGAACAUCUGUGGCGAAGGCGACUGCCUGGACCAGCACUGACACUGAGGCAUGAAAGCGUGGGGAGCAAACAGG
Molecule: ribosomal RNA, 253 nt
Filed under: uncultured bacterium
Lineage: Bacteria
Description: partial 16S ribosomal RNA
Rfam family: Bacterial small subunit ribosomal RNA
Source: RNAcentral